AGCUCAGAACAAGACUUUAUUCAGGGAAGCAUGAGAAUACUUACAGCUCUUAUUAGGAAGUAUAAUCCUUCUGUGCAAUAUUACUCUCCCUUGGGAAACAGUGAGAUUUUAUCAAGAAAUGGAACUAUUAAUCUUUUGGAUCAAGCAAAAGAACUUGUGGAGAGCAUGAGAGAG
This is a long non-coding RNA of Pantherophis guttatus, 174 nucleotides long. RefSeq lists it as uncharacterized. The record is from RefSeq and is a predicted model, not a curated record. Lineage: Eukaryota; Metazoa; Chordata; Lepidosauria; Squamata; Colubridae.